CAGGCCUAACACAUGCAAGUCGAACGGUGAAGCAGAGCUUGCUCUGUGGAUCAGUGGCGAACGGGUGAGUAACACGUGAGCAACCUGCCCCGGACUCUGGGAUAAGCGCUGGAAACGGCGUCUAAUACUGGAUACGAGCUGCGACCGCAUGGUCAGCAGUUGGAAAGAUUUUUCGGUCUGGGAUGGGCUCACGGCCUAUCAGCUUGUUGGUGGGGUGAUGGCCUACCAAGGCGACGACGGGUAGCCGGCCUGAGAGGGUGACCGGCCACACUGGGACUGAGACACGGCCCAGACUCCUACGGGAGGCAGCAGUGGGGAAUAUUGCACAAUGGGCGAAAGCCUGAUGCAGCAACGCCGCGUGAGGGAUGACGGCCUUCGGGUUGUAAACCUCUUUUAGCAGGGAAGAUAAUGACUGUACCGGAAGAAUAAGCCCCGGCUAACUUCGUGCCAGCAGCCGCGGUAAU
RNAcentral lists this ribosomal RNA (464 nucleotides) under uncultured bacterium. Its description in RNAcentral is "bacterial SSU rRNA". It matches the Rfam family "Bacterial small subunit ribosomal RNA", at positions 43 to 524 of the family's 1533-position model. The record is from RNAcentral.